RNAcentral lists this ribosomal RNA (268 nucleotides) under unidentified gamma proteobacterium groupI. Its description in RNAcentral is "partial 16S small subunit ribosomal RNA". It matches the Rfam family "Bacterial small subunit ribosomal RNA", at positions 1106 to 1373 of the family's 1533-position model. Lineage: Bacteria; Pseudomonadati; Pseudomonadota; Gammaproteobacteria. The record is from RNAcentral.
UAUCCUUAUUUGCCAGCGCGUUAUGGCGGGAACUCUAAGGAGACUGCCGGUGAUAAACCGGAGGAAGGUGAGGACGACGUCAAGUCAUCAUGGCCCUUACGCAUAGGGCUACACACGUGCUACAAUGGAGAAUACAGACGGACGCUAAGCCGCGAGGUGGUGCCAAUCCUAGAAAAUCCUUCGUAGUCCGGAUUGGAGUCUGCAACUCGACUCCAUGAAGUCGGAAUCGCUAGUAAUCGCGAAUCAGCAUGUCGCGGUGAAUACGUUC